AUUUUAGGUUCUGAGAAUCUCUGACCAGUUGCUUUAAUAACUCUAAUAUAAUUAGCACAUGCAAGAAAUGGUAAUCUCUUUCUCUCGGAUCCGUUAUGCAUCUAUCUCAUAGUUAUAGUUUUAUAGACCAAUGCUUGAUAAUAAUCAAUCCAAUAGCUCUAAGUACGUAUUGUUAUUUUUUAAAGUAAACUAAAUGAUGUUCUUGUUACCAAACGUCCAACACUAAUUAUUUACCUUGGUUAGAAUAAGGUUACUUUUGCCUAUCUUGUAAAUUCUGGAAUUUGUGGAUCCAACAUACUUGAGAACAACCUUCCCCAUUAGUAAUAUUGAAUCUAAAACAAAUAAAAACAGAACUCGUUAAAUAUAGAUGUAGAAAUAAAAAAAAUGAAUAAGAUUUAUGCUAGCUAAUUAUAGUACCUUAUCAUCAAGGAAUAUGUUGCAUCGAUUGCUUCAUUCUGAACUCCCUUUUGCUCCCAGAUUCUCAAGAUGUUUACACGGAUUUGCUAGUCUGAUGUGAAUGAAGAUCUGAAACAUCAGUAAGAUAAGCAAAAUGAGAAGAAACAACAAAAAAAGGUAACACAGAUCAUCAAGAUUCCAUCAACAACUUAACAUGAUUUAACAAAUUAUCAUAGUUUGUAAAAGGUUUAGAACCAAAAUUCAGUACGUGAAAACUUACUUGUUCAUCAGUAUAGACCAUAUCAAGAGUCUCCCUUUUUGACAUUAUAUUGUCCAUUAAUGCAGGAACUUAAACUUGGACGCACAUGCAGCUUUGAAAUGUCUCACAUCUCUGAGAUUGGAAAAUGAAGCAGCCAUUAUUGUGUUAAAAGGUAAAAUCUCUGUUGAUUUGAUAAUUCUCUGUUAGCAAAACCUAUUUAUAGAGGUUAUAGUCUCUUGGCCUUAGGUUUGAUACAAAUUCGACAAUAGCUUUGUGAUCAAGCCAGAUUU
This 945-nucleotide long non-coding RNA is filed under the name Arabidopsis lyrata. RNAcentral's name for it is "long non-coding RNA (ALYR_LNC000348)". The record is from RNAcentral. Lineage: Eukaryota; Viridiplantae; Streptophyta; Magnoliopsida; Brassicales; Brassicaceae.